GGCGAACGCUGGCGGCGUGCCUAAUACAUGCAAGUCGAACGAGAGCAACCGGUGCUUGCACUGGUCAAUCUAGUGGCGAACGGGUGAGUAACACGUGGGUAACCUGCCCAUCAGAGGGGGAUAACAUCCGGAAACGGAUGCUAAAACCGCAUAGGCCUUCGAACCGCAUGGUUUGAAGAGGAAAAGAGGCGCAAGCUUCUGCUGAUGUAUGGACCCGCGGUGCAUUAGCUAGUUGGUGAGGUAACGGCUCACCAAGGCCGUGAUGCAUAGCCGACCUGAGAGGGUGAUCGGCCACAUUGGGACUGAGACACGGCCCAAACUCCUACGGGAGGCAGCAGUAGGGAAUCCUCCGCAAUGGACGCAAGUCUGACGGAGCAACGCCGCGUGAGUGAAGAAGGUUUUCGGAUCGUAAAACUCUGUUGUUAGAGAAGAACAAGUGCUAGAGUAACUGUUAGCGCCUUGACGGUAUCUAACCAGAAAGCCACGGCUAACUACGUG
This 498-nucleotide ribosomal RNA is filed under the name uncultured bacterium. Its description in RNAcentral is "partial 16S ribosomal RNA". It matches the Rfam family "Bacterial small subunit ribosomal RNA", at positions 28 to 507 of the family's 1533-position model. The record is from RNAcentral.